CUGUUUUCACUUUUAUUUUUACAGAGAAUAUGUAGGUGCCAAUACAUUUUGUAGAUACGAGGCAAAUUUAACUUGGUAAAAUGAUAUCAACUGUGGUACCUUUCCCUAUAGCGCAAUUAGCUAAGACGUUGUCAAGCGGGUGGUCACGUGUUUGCGAGGCAGCAGAUCCAAGACUGAGUACUGGUAAGGACUUGUGAAGAAAGCGAAACUGUGAACCUAUAUUUAUCAUGCCCCUAGUAAAUUACAUUUCAACAUAUCAUUGCUCUGAACAUUCUUUUAAAAAAAGGACAGGUGUACAGCACAGGACUUUAUUUAACAGUGGGAUACAAAAAAUAUUACAGCUUCGGAGAGGGAUGUGAUAUGAUUCACAAGGGGACAAGAAGAGGGGUCAGAAACAGGAAGCUGCCGUAUCGGCCGCCCUGGACCCUACGUGUAGGAAUUCCCAGAGGAGCGUCAGGAGUCUGUGGUGAGCAGAGGCAGCUGUAGAGGAUGGGGGGCUGGCACACAUGCACGUCAUUGCAACCUAAAUUAGGCUACAUGUCUGCAGCCGGUGUGCCACAGCCCACGCCUACACAAAAAUGUGUAGGCGUUUACCUAUGGAGAGGAACAGAGAAGACGAAACAAUGUAGUUAUGUUCUACACUACCACAGUCGCAGUAAUAUAUUACCAGCUACAAUAGUUAUUUACAACAUUAACAAUGUACACUGUAUUUCUGAUCAAUUUGAUGCCAUUUUAAAAUGGACAAAACAAAUGUGCUUUUCUCUCAAAAACCAAAAGAACAUUUGUAAGUGACCCCAAACUUUUAAAUCGGAAGUGACUAUGAAUAGAUAAUAAACAGAGAGUAGCAGCAGUGUAAAAGAGGGGUCUGGGUUGCCCUUUGAUUAGCGGUUCAGGAGUCUUAUGGCUUAAAAAGAUAUUCUCUUGAAAAAUAGAAAAGCGGCGAUAGUACAGUUUGUCGAUUUUGAGACGCUUCCUGAAAAUAGUCAGAAUUCAUCUAAGAUGCAUUAUAAACUCAGGACCCUGUCUUUCAAAG
Molecule: long non-coding RNA, 1033 nt
Organism: Oncorhynchus tshawytscha (Chinook salmon)
Lineage: Eukaryota; Metazoa; Chordata; Actinopteri; Salmoniformes; Salmonidae
Source: Ensembl